CCUACGGGAGGCAGCAGUGGGGAAUAUUGCACAAUGGGGGAAACCCUGAUGCAGCGACGCCGCGUGAAGGAAGAAGUAUUUCGGUACGUAAACCUCUAUCAGCAGGGAAGAAAAUGACGGUACCUGACUAAGAAGCCCCGGCUAACUACGUGCCAGCAGCCGCGGUAAUACGUAGGGGGCAAGCGUUAUCCGGAUUUACUGGGUGUAAAGGGAGCGUAGGCGGUUGAGCAAGUCAGAAGUGAAAGCCCGGGGCUCAACGCCGGAACUGCUUUUGAAACUGUUGAACUAGAGUGCAGGAGAGGUAAGUGGAAUUCCUGGUGUAGCGGUGAAAUGCGUAGAGAUCAGGAGGAACACCGGCGGCGAAGGCGGCUUACUGGACUGUAACUGACGCUGAGGCUCGAAGGCGUGGGGAGCAAACAGGAUUAGAUACCCUAGUAGUC
This 440-nucleotide ribosomal RNA is filed under the name uncultured bacterium. Its description in RNAcentral is "partial 16S ribosomal RNA". It matches the Rfam family "Bacterial small subunit ribosomal RNA", at positions 338 to 795 of the family's 1533-position model. The record is from RNAcentral.